UACGGAGGGUGCAAGCGUUAUCCGGAUUCACUGGGUUUAAAGGGAGCGCAGGCGGAUUUGUAAGUCAGUGGUGAAAGGCUUAAGCUUAACUUGGGAACUGCCAUUGAUACUAUAAGUCUUGAAUGUUGUUGAGGUUUGCGGAAUGGGUCAUGUAGCGGUGAAAUGCAUAGAUAUGACCCGGAACACCUAUUGCGAAGGCAGCAGGCUAAAGUAUAACUGACGCUGAUGCACGAAAGCGUGGGGAGCAAACAGG
This 253-nucleotide ribosomal RNA is filed under the name uncultured bacterium. RNAcentral's name for it is "partial 16S ribosomal RNA". It matches the Rfam family "Bacterial small subunit ribosomal RNA", at positions 524 to 776 of the family's 1533-position model. The record is from RNAcentral.